GAUGAACGCUGGCGGCGUGCUUAACACAUGCAAGUCGAACGGAAAGGCCCUUCCUUUCUGGGGUACUCGAGUGGCGAACGGGUGAGUAACACGUGUGUAACCUGCCCUGCACUUUGGGAUAAGCUCAGGAAACUGGGGCUAAUACCGGAUAGGACACUGGUUUGGAUGGCAGGGGGGGGAGAUUUUGCGGUGUGGGGUUUGCUCGCGGCGUAUCCGCGUGUUGGUGGGGUAGUGGCGUACCACGACGUCGACGGGUAGCCGGCCUGAGAGGGUGUACGGCGACAUUGGGACUGAGAUACGGACCAGACUCCUACGGGAGGCAGCAGUGGGGAAUAUUGCACAAUGGGCGCAAGCCUGAUGCAGCGACGCCGCGUGCGGGAUGACGGCCUUCGGGGUGUAAACAGCUUUCGCUUGAGACGAAGCGUGAGUGACGGUACCGGGAGAAGAAGCACCGGCUAACUACGUG
Molecule: ribosomal RNA, 466 nt
Filed under: uncultured bacterium
Lineage: Bacteria
Description: partial 16S ribosomal RNA
Rfam family: Bacterial small subunit ribosomal RNA
Source: RNAcentral